CUCCACACAAGGUGGGAGGUGAAGUCUGCAGAUGCACCUCUGAACUCUGGGUCUGCACUAACCAAGGACAGCAACUGUGAUUGAGAAGGGAGUGAGUGGAAGAGGACGUCCACGCAUUAAGAGUGUUAUCCAUUGCUAACAACUUUUAAAAAUACAUGCGUGAAUAAGCAAAUCUAAAAACUAUCCCAAGAACAAUGCAACAACCCAGCAACAGGAUAAGCAGAGCAAAAUUGAAUAAAGAAGUUGCUAAUCUUGCUUUGUGGUUCUGUUUACACACUGUAAGUCGUUCCAUUGUCUUCAAGUGAAGCCCAUUUGUAAGUCACUGUAAGCCCAGAUAAAUCAUAUAAGAAACGGCAGAAAGAGACGGGAUUCCUACCUGAUUC
Molecule: long non-coding RNA, 383 nt
Organism: Chelonia mydas (Green sea turtle)
Lineage: Eukaryota; Metazoa; Chordata; Testudines; Cheloniidae
Exons: 3
Source: RefSeq, a predicted model, not a curated record